This 868-nucleotide ribosomal RNA is filed under the name uncultured Neocallimastigales. RNAcentral describes it as "partial large subunit ribosomal RNA". It matches the Rfam family "Eukaryotic large subunit ribosomal RNA", at positions 1 to 628 of the family's 3401-position model. Lineage: Eukaryota; Fungi; Neocallimastigomycota; Neocallimastigomycetes; Neocallimastigales. The record is from RNAcentral.
GUACACGCUGUGACUAGCAUAUCAAUAAGCGGAGGAAAAGAGGGCUAUUACCUACGCUUAGGAUGUUGACACACGCGCGUGCUCGAUGAUAGUCUAUACAUGACUCUGUGCAUAUCAAUAAGCGGAGGAAAAGAAACUAACAAGGAUUCCCCUAGUAACGGCGAGUGAAGCGGGAAGAGCUCAAAUUUGAAAUCUUAAAGGGUUUCCCUUUACGAAUUGUAGUUUAAAGAAGUGUUUUCUGUUGAGGUUUUGGUAAAAGUUCUUUGGAAUAGGACAUCAUAGAGGGUGAGAAUCCCGUAUUUGACCUUUACUUUCAACUUUGUGAUACACUUUCAAAGAGUCGGAUUGUUUGGGAAUGCAGUCCAAAAUGGGUGGUAAAUUUCAUCUAAAGCUAAAUAUUGGCGAGAGACCGAUAGCGAACAAGUACCGUGAGGGAAAGACUGAAAAGAACUUUGAAAAGAGAGUUAAACAGUACGUGAAAUUGUCAAAAGGGAAGCGUUUGACACCAGUGUUGUUUUUCUGAAAAUCAAUUAAAGAACUGUUUAUGCUAAGCUGUUUAGACUUUAUCAGCUAACUGUUUAGUUUUGAGCUUUUCUUUAAUGCACUUUUCAGUUAACAAGUCAACAUCAAUUUCUUUUGCUAUAAAAAAGCUUGAGGAAGGUGGCUUGAGAUUCGUCUUAAGUGUUUAUAGCCUCUUGCCUAUGCAGUCGGAGAGAUUGAGGUCUGCAGCGUAGAUCCUUCGGGGCUAAAUGCAUUUGUGCUAAGUUAUAGCAUUUUAUAGACAACUUGUUGACUAUGAUUUGUCUUGUAGCUUACUCGCUUAUGUUAUUUUACCUACGCUUAGGAUGUUGAGUCGUAGAGCACGCAG